GACGAACGCUGGCGGCGUGCUUAACACAUGCAAGUCGAACGGUGAACCAGGGCUUGCCCUGGGGAUCAGUGGCGAACGGGUGAGUAACACGUGGGCAACCUGCCCCUGACUCUGGGAUAACUCCUCGAAAGAGGUGCUAAUACCGGAUACGACCACUUCGGGCAUCCGAUGGUGGUGGAAAGAAUUUUGGUCAGGGAUGGGCCCGCGGCCUAUCAGCUUGUUGGUGGGGUAACGGCCCACCAAGGCGACGACGGGUAGCCGGCCUGAGAGGGCGACCGGCCACACUGGGACUGAGACACGGCCCAGACUCCUACGGGAGGCAGCAGUGGGGAAUAUUGCGCAAUGGGCGAAAGCCUGACGCAGCGACGCCGCGUGAGGGACGACGGCCUUC
RNAcentral lists this ribosomal RNA (391 nucleotides) under uncultured bacterium. RNAcentral's name for it is "bacterial SSU rRNA". It matches the Rfam family "Bacterial small subunit ribosomal RNA", at positions 28 to 419 of the family's 1533-position model. The record is from RNAcentral.